ACAACCAACAAUGGCAGGAAAGCAAUCUAUAAUCCUAUUCUCAUUCAUGGCACAAGGUCACAUGACAUAAUCCCAUUCCUAGCCUUAGCCUUAAACCUAGAACAAAAAUCCAAAAACUACAGCAUCACCACCAUAAUCAACACACCACACAACAUCCAAAAACUUCAACCUUCUCUCCCACCUAACUCCUACAUCAAUUUCCUCACAAUCCCUUUCAUUUCUUCCGACCAUAACCUCCCACUCAACACAGAAAACAUUGAGACUGUUCCUUGCAAUCUUGUCAUCAAACGUAUACAAACUUCUCUUUCCUUAAAACCAUCCUUCAAAAACAUCAUCCAAAACAUCAUAACCAAACAAACUCAAAAUCAAAAUCAUAAACUAUGUAUUAUUGGACCGGUUAAUCUUAGUGACAGUUGGAAUAUUCGGUACAAUAUGACAGUCUAUGCAUUUUGUGUGAGCAGCAUGGUCAUUAUUGACUUUUUUGAUCGAAACAACCUCAGGAACUGGAAGAGCAGGAGCACGAAAGUAGUCCAAGAUGCCACCACAAUCAGAGUGGUCGUGGCACCAACAACCAAACAAGCAAUUCACAUGUGCGGAAACUGGUAGAGUUUUAGCUUACCGGCCAUGUACAACCGUGCAUCAAAGCCAUGAGCAUCAUCAUGAAAACAAACACAACUUUCCUUUUCAUUUUUACUUUUGUUGUUUUGAUGUUUUUCUAUGGUUUCAAUUUAUAUUUAUAGAGUACCAUGAACCACCCCAACUUCUUCUUCUCACAUUCUUUAUGCACUGGCUUGACUUCACCAUUCUUUGUGCUUGUAACUAUUCUUUUUUUGUUUUUUAGGAAGCUAGUUACAACUUACCAUUCUUUAGUUCUUAUUAAGAAGAACUCAUCAAGAUUAUGAUUUUUUUUUACUAUCUCAUUUUUAUGUACUAUUAUAAGUUCUCAUUAAAUACUAUUAGUAUCCGAUAAUAUUUAUCUAAGAAUUGUGAUUAAGCUCAUGAAAAUAUUAAGAAUUGUAAGUUGUAACUACCUUUCGAAAAAAAAUAAAAUAAAUAGUUACCAGCACAAAGAAUGGGAAGUUAAGCCACUGCAUAAAGAAUGUGAGAAGAAGAAGAAGUUGGGGUGUUUUUUUUUUUUUUUUUUUGAGAAAGAAGUUGGGGUGUUAAUUUGGUUUGUUAAUUGUUAUAACUUGAAAGCAACAAACAUUUAUAUUUUUAGUUUUUCUUUAAAAAAGUAAUUAUAUUUUUAAUAAAAGUCAAAAUUUCAUAAAAAAACACCGUUCAUAACUUUCAAACGUUAGCAUCACAUUAAAUAUUUAUAACUAGGUGUAAGUAAAUGUCACCCUCUACGUUGUAUUUUCAGUUAACUAUGAGCACUAAGAUAAUGUGAUGUGAACUGAAAUUAUGAUCCGGGAGGUGGUUUUUGUCUUGUUCAAGAUAGAUCAAAUUAUUACCCUGGUGUUGCUUUUACUAGAAUUUUGGCUCAGUGUAACUCAACCUUAAAAAAUCGACUUGUAAGAUGGAGACUAUCUCUACUUUUUUUUUAAGAGAGAGUCUCUACUUAUAAACUUAUGUUCAAAUCUUAUCAAAUUUAGAAUGAAACUUUAACGCACACUCCAACGUUAAAGACAGGACAUCUUAAAAACAUGGCCAGAUCGAUUCGAUAAAAAUGAUUUAAUAACAAGUGAUCAACGUAUCUUGUAAUAGGUUUAAGUGUCAGCUGAAAUGUUUCAAUUAUGAGUUUAAUCGGUGAUAUUUUUGUCCCUUGAUUGUUUAGGGGUUAGUAGUGUUUAAUUUGCUUGAGCGUUUGUUGUUUGGUGGCCAAUUUCUUUUCUCGAAGUUUUGAUUUUCUUUUUAUCAUACUUACUUUAAAAGCUAAUUAGGUCAAGCUAUAACUUAACCCUAACCUUAAUCCCACUUUCCCUCCCAAAUCCUCAAUUAAUUAUGUGUGGGGCCCAUAUAAGCUAUAAUCCCAAUUCCAAAUUUGAAUUCGAGUUUUCCCUCUCAUCAUUUUGUUUGUUUCCAAUGUCAUGUCAUCAUUGUUGACUAACAUCAUUAAUACUACAUAACACCGUUAAUCAAAGUGCCUUAAUGACUUUGUCAGCCACAUCUAACUUUGUUCAUUUUUCAAAGAGACAAAAUUAAUUGUUGCUUUCUCUUUCAUUUCUUCACAUCUAUGUCUCUAAAUAAGUCACAAUUUCAUCUAUUGCUGAACAUGAAUGAGUUCAUCUUAAAACCACACAUUUCAUAUCCUUUUCUCAAAUUCAAAAACGUAUCCAAACACUUCUGCUUUAAAUCUACAAACUCUUGGGCCUGCAGUUUAGGAGCUACGGUAGUCUUCUUGGCAUUGUACACAGGUUAAACAAAAGUCAAAUUUCAUUCAACCUUCAUUUAUUUAUAAUUUGUACAAAAAGUUAUUGAACUUUAGAGAAGCCUUGACAAUAUUUCUUUUUUGUUCAAUUUCUGAUUUUUGGAUUUUCCAUUUGAAGAUUUCGUCUUUAUAGAAAAUUGUAUUAUCCAGUUUCAUGUACAAUUGCAUGCUUUGGAAGAUCAAACAUGUAAAAAUAUAUGAUGAACUUGCUGUUAUGAUUAAAUUUCCCAAUUGAGAAGUGACAUUAACAAUAAUGAGAUGGGUUGAAUACGUAAAAAAAAAAAAAAAAAGUUGAAGAAGUUUAUAACGGAUGAUGAAUGUAAAAUGUACAGUUUUCAAACUAUAUUAAUGUCAAGAUGAUAUGACCAAUAUAAUACAUUUUUAUCAUGACUAUUUCACAUUCUUUUUUCUUUAUUAUGAUAUAAUUUAUUCGCAUAUGUUUUAGUUGGUAGGACCCGUGCGGAGCACGGGUCGAUGGUCUAGUUGUUGGAUAUGCUUGUCUUUGGUGUUUUAUCACAAAAUGGUGGGUUGUUUGGCUUUUUUUUUUUUACGGUAAAAUUUGUUUUCUUGGCACAUCAUAUAUGCUGAGAGUUCUUUUUUCUAUUGAUUUUUACUUCAAUUAAGAAAUAUAUCAAGCACAUUUUUUUUCCCAUACCUUAUAUAUAUUAUGUAUUAUGUAUUGUCUCUGUCAAUUGAGUUUAACUCACGAGAACAUAUAAAACACAUCUAAAGAUAUACACCUAAUUAUUAAAAAAAAUUAUUUUAUGAUCAUUCAGUCAAUGGAAAAGAGCCUCCUGGCAAAUAUUGAGAUCAAUUAAUUUUGGUGGAAAAUAUCUUUAAAAUGUUUCUCUGUUUUUUUAUGGUAGGUGAGGAUAAUGUUGGGAGAAAAUCGCAGGAGAAUUCUUUUUCUUUUCCUCUUCCUUUUCCGAAUAAAGACUUUUAUUUCAUUGAUUAGUUGAUUUAUAAAGUGAUUUAUUUCUUUUAAAGUCCUAAUAAUGUCAUCAACUACAUAUGACUUUGACUUUUAUCCCAAGUUCAUUUCCACCAAAGCAUCAACCAAAACUGAUUAAUUACCGUGUUGGUUCCCAUAUUUCCAGUCAUUUGACAUUGGUCAUUUCAUUUUAAAAUCACUUGGUUUUGGUAAUUUCAUGGUUGUUAAUCAUUUCACAUUAACACUCAUUUAAAAUAUGUUACAUCACCAUAUUCGAGUUAAAAAAUGUGAUAAAUAAAUGUCAUGCUAACAUAUCUCUUAAAUGUGUCGGUUAAAGAGUGUCCUUACAUCAUCAUUAUGGAUAUAUUAAAGAGUAUCAUUGCAUCAUUACUACGGAUCUAUUUUAUUUUGUUAUUAACAACUAAGUGUCAUGCUAAUCGAUGUCUUAAAAGUCAUCAGUUAAAAAGUUGAAUAUACCACUAUUUAGAUUUAUAACUAAGCGCCGUGCUAAUCGAGCCUUAAAAGUCAUGGGUUAGAAAGUUGAAUAUGGUCUGUUUAAAUUUGGAUUCUCUUUAUUAAAAUGUCUCACAAUUUUUUCCAUUUUGAAUCUCUACCUUUAAAAUACAUCAACCACUCUUCUUUCAUUUUCUCUUUUAUGUUUGAUUAUUGAGAUUUAUUUGAUUAAAAUUGAAAGAAUUUUCAAAGAAGAUAAUCAAAUCUACAAUAUUGAAGACAAUUUUAUUUUGUCAACAAAUGUUGAAGGAUAUUCUUUAAAAUAAUAAUUUGAUAGAUUAAUUAAUAAAGCAGAUGAAAGUUGACCAAUAAGAAAAAACAAAAAGUAGACGAAAUUAAUAAAAGCCAAGCCAGCACAUCAUUCUCAUUCAACAAAGAACAGAACACAAAAACAAACUCUGCAUUUCCCACAACAACCAACCAACAAUGGCGGAAAAACAAUCAAUAAUCCUGUUCCCAUUCAUGGCACAAGGUCACAUAAUCCCAUUCUUAGCCUUAGCCUUAAACCUAGAACAAAAAUCCAAAAACUACAACAUCACCAUAAUCAACACACCACACAACAUCCAAAAACUCAAAACCUCUCUCCCACCAAAUUCCUCCAUCAAUCUCCUCACAAUCCCUUUCAUCUCUUCCG
RNAcentral lists this long non-coding RNA (4449 nucleotides) under Medicago truncatula (barrel medic). Its description in RNAcentral is "long non-coding RNA (MTRU_LNC000017)". The record is from RNAcentral. Lineage: Eukaryota; Viridiplantae; Streptophyta; Magnoliopsida; Fabales; Fabaceae.